AGUUUUUUGACUAUACAAAGGUAUUGUAAUAAGAUUUUAAUUGAAUGCUAAAAGAAUGGAAAUUUAAAAAAAAACUUUUUUAAAAAUAAAAAUUGAAUUUUUUUUAAUUUGUGCAAAAACAAUUAUAUUUAUUAAAGACAAGAAGACCCUAAGAAUUUAAGAUUUUACAAUUAAAAAGUUUUUUUUUUAAAAUCUUGAUUGGGGCGAUCAAAAAAUAUUAAUAACUUUUUAAAAUUUAAAUUGAUCUAUUAUUAAUAAACUAAUGAAUUAAAUACUCUAGGGAUAACAGCGUAAUAAUUUUUGAUAGAUCUUAUUGACAAAAUAGUUUGCGACCUCGAUGUUGGAUUAGGAUUCUUUUUUAAUGAAGAAGUUAAAAAAAGAAGUUUGUUCAACUUUUAAAUUCCU
RNAcentral lists this ribosomal RNA (405 nucleotides) under Hyalomma sp. HmargslTU76. RNAcentral's name for it is "partial 16S ribosomal RNA". Lineage: Eukaryota; Metazoa; Arthropoda; Arachnida; Ixodida; Ixodidae. The record is from RNAcentral.